GAUGAACGCUGGCGGCGCGCCUAACACAUGCAAGUAGAACGAUUAAAGCACCUUCGGGUGUGUAUAAAGUGGCGAACGGCUGAGUAACACGUGGGCAACCUGCCCCUCUCAUUGGGAUAGCCACGGGAAACCGUGGAUAAUACCGAAUACUUCGAGUCUCCCGCAUGGAAGACUCGAGAAAGCUCCGGCGGAGAGGGAUGGGCCCGCGGCCUGUUAGCUUGUUGGUGGGGUAACGGCCUACCAAGGCAAUGAUGGGUAGCUGGGUUGAGAGACCGACCAGCCAGAUUGGGACUGAGACACGGCCCAGACUCCUACGGGAGGCAGCAGGUGGGGAAUUCUUGCACAAGUGGGCGAAAGGCCUUGA
Molecule: ribosomal RNA, 364 nt
Filed under: Lancefieldella parvula
Lineage: Bacteria; Bacillati; Actinomycetota; Coriobacteriia; Coriobacteriales; Atopobiaceae
Description: bacterial SSU rRNA
Rfam family: Bacterial small subunit ribosomal RNA
Source: RNAcentral